This 504-nucleotide ribosomal RNA is filed under the name Dothiorella iberica. RNAcentral describes it as "eukaryotic LSU rRNA". The stretch from base 178 to 331 matches the Rfam family "5.8S ribosomal RNA". Lineage: Eukaryota; Fungi; Ascomycota; Dothideomycetes; Botryosphaeriales; Botryosphaeriaceae. The record is from RNAcentral.
GGAAGGAUCAUUACCGAGUUGAUUCGAGCUCCGGCUCGACUCUCCCACCCUUUGUGUACCUACCUCUGUUGCUUUGGCGGGCCCGCGGUUCGGCCUCGUGCCGUCCAGCACCCGCCAGAGGACCACAAAACUCCAGUCAGUGAACGUCUCAGUCUGAAAAACAAGUUAAUAAACUAAAACUUUCAACAACGGAUCUCUUGGUUCUGGCAUCGAUGAAGAACGCAGCGAAAUGCGAUAAGUAAUGUGAAUUGCAGAAUUCAGUGAAUCAUCGAAUCUUUGAACGCACAUUGCGCCCCUUGGUAUUCCGGGGGGCAUGCCUGUUCGAGCGUCAUUUCAACCCUCAAGCUCUGCUUGGUAUUGGGCUCCGUCCUCAGGGACGCGCCUCAAAGACCUCGGCGGUGGCGUCUUGCCUCAAGCGUAGUAGAAAACACCUCGCUUUGGAGCGCACGGCGUCGCCCGCCGGACGAACCUUUGAAUUUUUCUCAAGGUUGACCCUCGGAUCAG